AACGCACAUUGCGCCCAUUAGUACUCUAGUGGGCAUGCCUGUUCGAGCGUCAUUUCAACCCUUAAGCCUAGCUUAGUGUUGGGAGCCUACUGCUUUUGCUAGCUGUAGCUCCUGAAAUACAACGGCGGAUCUGCGAUAUCCUCUGAGCGUAGUAAUUUUUAUCUCGCUUUUGACUGGAGUUGCAGCGUCUUUAGCCGCUAAACCCCCCAAUUUUUAAUGGUUGACCUCGGAUCAGGUAGGAAUACCCGCUGAACUUAA
Molecule: unclassified non-coding RNA, 258 nt
Filed under: uncultured fungus
Lineage: Eukaryota; Fungi
Description: sequence contains ITS2
Source: RNAcentral